This 463-nucleotide long non-coding RNA is filed under the name Glycine max (soybean). RNAcentral's name for it is "long non-coding RNA (GMAX_LNC002904)". Lineage: Eukaryota; Viridiplantae; Streptophyta; Magnoliopsida; Fabales; Fabaceae. The record is from RNAcentral.
UGACAUCAACCUUGCCGCGAAGGUUGUUGUCGGAGAGGUCGAGGCGGAGGAGGGAUUUUAGGGAGGAUAUCUCCGGCGGGAUCUCGCCGGAGAAGUCGUUGCUGCUGAGGUAGAGGAGUUGGAGGUUGGUGCAGUUGGAGAAGAGGGUUGAAACGGUGCCGUUUAAGCGGUUGUCGUGGAGGUUGAGGAGGCGAAGGUGGGUGAGGGGAGUGAGAGGGUCUAGUGGGCCACGCAGGUUGAGGGAAGGGAGGGAGAGGGCGGUGACGCGGCCGUUCGGGGAGCAAAGAACGCCGCGCCAGGCGGAGUUGCAAGCAUCAUGGCCUGUCCAAUUUGAAAGAAGGUAGCCAUGUAGGUCACUUUGGCGACGGAAAAGGGUGAGUGCAUGAGUGUCAUUGUGGUGGAGACUUAACGUAGAAAUUGGUAAGAAAAAUAAAAACAUGUACAAGACAUGGUAAUGCUUCAU